This 471-nucleotide ribosomal RNA is filed under the name uncultured bacterium. Its description in RNAcentral is "bacterial SSU rRNA". It matches the Rfam family "Bacterial small subunit ribosomal RNA", at positions 355 to 825 of the family's 1533-position model. The record is from RNAcentral.
UGGGGAAUUUUGGACAAUGGGCGAAAGCCUGAUCCAGCAAUGCCGCGUGCAGGAAGAAGGCCUUCGGGUUGUAAAGCACUUUCAGAGGGGAGGAGGACUAUUAGGUUAAGAGCUAGAUAGUUGGACGUUACCCUCAGAAGCAGCACCGGCUAACUCCGUGCCAGCAGCCGCGGUAAUACGGGGGGUGCAAGCGUUAAUCGGAAUUAUUGGGCGUAAAGCGGGUGUAGGCGGACUUAUAAGUCAGGUGUGAAAUCCCAGGGCUCAACCCUGGAAGUGCACUUGAUACUGCAAGUCUUGAGUGUGGUAGAGGCUAUUAGAAUUCCUGGUGUAGUGGUGAAAUACGUAGAUAUCAGGAGAAUACCGGAGGCGAAGGCGGAUAGCUGGGCCAACACUGACGCUGAGACCCGAAAGCGUGGGGAUCAAACAGGAUUAGAUACCCACGUAGUCCCUGAGCGGGCUGGCAAGGCGCAU